GAUGAACGCUGGCGGCGUGCCUAAUACAUGCAAGUCGAGCGAAGCGGGGACGGGUGAGUAACACGUGGCUAACCUCCUAUAAGACUGGGAUAACUUCGGGAAACCGGAGCUAAACCGGAUCCUUAUAGUUAGACCCGCGCUGCAUUAGCUAGUUGUUAAGGUAACGGCUUACCAAGGAAACGAUGCAUAGCCGACCUGAGAGGGUGAUAGGCAACAAUGGAACUGAGACACGGUCCAGACGCCUACGGGAGGCAGCAGUAGGGAAUAUUCCACAAUGGGCGAAAGCCUGACGGAGCAACGCCGCGUGAGUGAAGAAGGUCUUCGAAUCGUAAAACUCUGUUAUUAGGGAAGCGGUACCUAAACAAAAAGCAACGGCUAACUACGUGCCAGCCGCCGCGGUAAUAC
RNAcentral lists this ribosomal RNA (405 nucleotides) under uncultured bacterium. Its description in RNAcentral is "partial 16S ribosomal RNA". It matches the Rfam family "Bacterial small subunit ribosomal RNA", at positions 28 to 526 of the family's 1533-position model. The record is from RNAcentral.